GCGUCCAUUGUCUAAUGGAUAGGACAGGGGUCUUCUAAACCUUUAGAAUAGAUUCAAAUCCUAUUGGACACC
Molecule: non-coding RNA, 72 nt
Organism: Gossypium hirsutum (cotton)
Lineage: Eukaryota; Viridiplantae; Streptophyta; Magnoliopsida; Malvales; Malvaceae
Source: Rfam